GACGUAGGGGACGAGCGUUGUCCGGAUUCAUUGGGCGUAAAGCGCGCGUAGGCGGUUCGGUAAGUUGGGUGUGAAAACACGAGGCUCAACCUCGUGCGUGCAUCCGAUACUGCCGGACUAGAGGUAGGUAGGGGAGAUCGGAAUUCCUGGUGUAGCGGUGAAAUGCGCAGAUAUCAGGAGGAACACCGGUGGCGAAGGCGGAUCUCUGGGCCUUACCUGACGCUCAGGCGCGAAAGCGUGGGGAGCAAACAGG
Molecule: ribosomal RNA, 253 nt
Filed under: uncultured bacterium
Lineage: Bacteria
Description: partial 16S ribosomal RNA
Rfam family: Bacterial small subunit ribosomal RNA
Source: RNAcentral